This 565-nucleotide ribosomal RNA is filed under the name Colletotrichum tropicale. Its description in RNAcentral is "eukaryotic LSU rRNA". The stretch from base 210 to 363 matches the Rfam family "5.8S ribosomal RNA". Lineage: Eukaryota; Fungi; Ascomycota; Sordariomycetes; Glomerellales; Glomerellaceae. The record is from RNAcentral.
CAAGGUCUCCGUUGGUGAACCAGCGGAGGGAUCAUUACUGAGUUUACGCUCUACAACCCUUUGUGAACAUACCUAUAACUGUUGCUUCGGCGGGUAGGGUCUCCGUGACCCUCCCGGCCUCCCGCCCCCGGGCGGGUCGGCGCCCGCCGGAGGAUAACCAAACUCUGAUUUAACGACGUUUCUUCUGAGUGGUACAAGCAAAUAAUCAAAACUUUUAACAACGGAUCUCUUGGUUCUGGCAUCGAUGAAGAACGCAGCGAAAUGCGAUAAGUAAUGUGAAUUGCAGAAUUCAGUGAAUCAUCGAAUCUUUGAACGCACAUUGCGCCCGCCAGCAUUCUGGCGGGCAUGCCUGUUCGAGCGUCAUUUCAACCCUCAAGCUCUGCUUGGUGUUGGGGCCCUACAGCUGAUGUAGGCCCUCAAAGGUAGUGGCGGACCCUCCCGGAGCCUCCUUUGCGUAGUAACUUUACGUCUCGCACUGGGAUCCGGAGGGACUCUUGCCGUAAAACCCCCCAAUUUUCCAAAGGUUGACCUCGAAUCAGGUAGGAAUACCCGCUGAACUUAAGCA